Molecule: ribosomal RNA, 507 nt
Filed under: uncultured soil bacterium
Lineage: Bacteria
Description: bacterial SSU rRNA
Rfam family: Bacterial small subunit ribosomal RNA
Source: RNAcentral
AGAUUGAACGCUGGCGGCAGGCUUAACACAUGCAAGUCGAGCGGUAGCAGGUCCUUCGGGAUGCUGACGAGCGGCGGACGGGUGAGUAACACAUAGGAAUCUGCCCAGUAGUGGGGAAUAGCCCGGGGAAACCCGGAUUAAUACCGCGUACGCCCUUAGGGGGAAAGCAGGGGAUCUUCGGACCUUGCGCUAUUGGAUGAGCCUAUGUCGGAUUAGCUAGUUGGUGGGGUAAAGCCUACCAAGGCGACGAUCCGUAGCUGGUCUGAGAGGAUGAUCAGCCACAUCGGGACUGAGACACGGCCCGAACUCCUACGGGAGGCAGCAGUGGGGAAUAUUGGACAAUGGGGGCAACCCUGAUCCAGCCAUGCCGCGUGUGUGAAGAAGGCUUUCGGGUUGUAAAGCACUUUCAGUGAGGAGGAAAACCUUGCGAUUAAUACUCGUAGGCUUGACGUUACUCACAGAAGAAGCACCGGACUAACUCGUGCCAGCAGCCGCGGUAAUCGUAGA